CGCGGGAUGGAGCAGCUGGUAGCUCGUNNAAGGUCGUAGGUUCAAGUCCUGCUCCCGCAACCA
This 63-nucleotide transfer RNA is filed under the name Clostridium botulinum. RNAcentral describes it as "tRNA-Leu". It matches the Rfam family "tRNA". Rfam says of the family: Transfer RNA (tRNA) molecules are approximately 80 nucleotides in length. Their secondary structure includes four short double-helical elements and three loops (D, anti-codon, and T loops). The record is from RNAcentral. Lineage: Bacteria; Bacillati; Bacillota; Clostridia; Eubacteriales; Clostridiaceae.